AGUCGGGCAAAAUGUCGGCCUGCAAUCUCCAGGCUGCGUAAAUCGGUAUCUGCUUUCCUUUGACCACGGAUGUACUGGCACUGUUGAAAGCAAAACCCUUGAUGAAGGCCGGGCAUUGCCUGGCCUUUUUCAUGU
Molecule: small RNA, 135 nt
Organism: Rhizobium sp. Root149
Lineage: Bacteria; Pseudomonadati; Pseudomonadota; Alphaproteobacteria; Hyphomicrobiales; Rhizobiaceae
Rfam family: Alphaproteobacterial sRNA ar35
Source: Rfam